GCAGAUCACUCAAGGCAUGCGCAGACAAUAAUUCACAUUUCUACCACAUUGGAGAGUACAAAAUCACAUGUUGAAUAUUGACCGGAAGACACUGACAAUCAGAAUGGUUUUAUGCAAUAUGGCAUUAGAGCAGAUCACUCAAGGCAUGCGCAGACAAUAAUUCACAUUUCUACCACAUUGGAGAGUACAAAAUCACAUGUUGAAUAUUGACUAGAAGACACUGACAAUAAGAAUGGUUUUAUACAAUAUGGCAUUAGAGCAGAUCACUCAAGGCAUGCGCAGACAAUAAUUCACAUUUCUACCACAUUGGAGAGUACAAAAUCACAUGUUGAAUAUUGACCGGAAGACACUGACAAUCAGAAUGGUUUUAUGCAAUAUUGCAUUAGAGCAGAUCACUCAAGGCAUGCGCAGACAAUAAUUCACAUUUCUACCACAUUGGAGAGUACAAAAUCACAUGUUGAAUAUUGACUAGAAUACACUGACAAUAAGAAUGGUUUUAUACAAUAUGGCAUUAGAGCAGAUCACUCAAGGCAUGCGCAGACAAUAAUUCACAUUUCUACCACAUUGGAGAGUACAAAAUCACAUGUUGAAUAUUGACCGGAAGACACUGACAAUCAGAAUGGUUUUAUGCAAUAUUGCAUUAGAGCAGAUCACUCAAGGCAUGCGCAGACAAUAAUUCACAUUUCUACCACAUUGGAGAGUACAAAAUCACAUGUUGAAUAUUGACUAGAAGACACUGACAAUAAGAAUGGUUUUAUACAAUAUGGCAUUAGAGCAGAUCACUCAAGGCAUGCGCAGACAAUAAUUCACAUUUCUACCACAUUGGAGAGUACAAAAUCACAUGUUGAAUAUUGACCGGAAGACACUGACAAUCAGAAUGGUUUUAUGCAAUAUUGCAUUAGAGCAGAUCACUCAAGGCAUGCGCAGACAAUAAUUCACAUUUCUACCACAUUGGAGAGUACAAAAUCACAUGUUGAAUAUUGACUAGAAGACACUGACAAUAAGAAUGGUUUUAUACAAUAUGGCAUUAGAGCAGAUCACUCAAGGCAUGCGCAGACAAUAAUUCACAUUUCUACCACAUUGGAGAGUACAAAAUCACAUGUUGAAUAUUGACCGGAAGACACUGACAAUCAGAAUGGUUUUAUGCAAUAUUGCAUUAGAGCAGAUCACUCAAGGCAUGCGCAGACAAUAAUUCACAUUUCUACCACAUUGGAGAGUACAAAAUCACAUGUUGAAUAUUGACUAGAAGACACUGACAAUAAGAAUGGUUUUAUACAAUAUGGCAUUAGAGCAGAUCACUCAAGGCAUGCGCAGACAAUAAUUCACAUUUCUACCACAUUGGAGAGUACAAAAUCACAUGUUGAAUAUUGACCGGAAGACACUGACAAUCAGAAUGGUUUUAUGCAAUAUUGCAUUAGAGCAGAUCACUCAAGGCAUGCGCAGACAAUAAUUCACAUUUCUACCACAUUGGAGAGUACAAAAUCACAUGUUGAAUAUUGACUAGAAGACACUGACAAUAAGAAUGGUUUUAUACAAUAUGGCAUUAGAGCAGAUCACUCAAGGCAUGCGCAGACAAUAAUUCACAUUUCUACCACAUUGGAGAGUACAAAAUCACAUGUUGAAUAUUGACCGGAAGACACUGACAAUCAGAAUGGUUUUAUGCAAUAUUGCAUUAGAGCAGAUCACUCAAGGCAUGCGCAGACAAUAAUUCACAUUUCUACCACAUUGGAGAGUACAAAAUCACAUGUUGAAUAUUGACUAGAAGACACUGACAAUAAGAAUGGUUUUAUACAAUAUGGCAUUAGAGCAGAUCACUCAAGGCAUGCGCAGACAAUAAUUCACAUUUCUACCACAUUGGAGAGUACAAAAUCACAUGUUGAAUAUUGACCGGAAGACACUGACAAUCAGAAUGGUUUUAUGCAAUAUUGCAUUAGAGCAGAUCACUCAAGGCAUGCGCAGACAAUAAUUCACAUUUCUACCACAUUGGAGAGUACAAAAUCACAUGUUGAAUAUUGACUAGAAGACACUGACAAUAAGAAUGGUUUUAUACAAUAUGGCAUUAGAGCAGAUCACUCAAGGCAUGCGCAGACAAUAAUUCACAUUUCUACCACAUUGGAGAGUACAAAAUCACAUGUUGAAUAUUGACCGGAAGACACUGACAAUCAGAAUGGUUUUAUGCAAUAUUGCAUUAGAGCAGAUCACUCAAGGCAUGCGCAGACAAUAAUUCACAUUUCUACCACAUUGGAGAGUACAAAAUCACAUGUUGAAUAUUGACUAGAAGACACUGACAAUAAGAAUGGUUUUAUACAAUUAGUGACAGUUUAUCCACCAACAAUUUUACAUAUUGAACUGACUACAACCUUUAAGAA
Molecule: long non-coding RNA, 2369 nt
Organism: Rhopalosiphum maidis (corn leaf aphid)
Lineage: Eukaryota; Metazoa; Arthropoda; Insecta; Hemiptera; Aphididae
Exons: 19
Source: RefSeq, a predicted model, not a curated record